CCUACGGGUGGCUGCAGUGGGGAAUAUUGCACAAUGGGCGCAAGCCUGAUGCAGCGACGCCGCGUGAGCGAUGAAGGCCUUCGGGUCGUAAAGCUCUGUCCUAAGGGAAGAAUAAUGACGGUACCUUAGGAGGAAGCCCCGGCUAACUACGUGCCAGCAGCCGCGGUAAUACGUAGGUGGCAAGCGUUGUCCGGAAUUAUUGGGCGUAAAGCGCGCGCAGGCGGUCCUUUAAGUCUGAUGUGAAAUCUUGCGGCUCAACCGCAAGCGGCCGUUGGAAACUGGGGGACUUGAGUGCAGGAGAGGGAAGUGGAAUUCCACGUGUAGCGGUGAAAUGCGUAGAGAUGUGGAGGAACACCAGUGGCGAAGGCGGCUUCCUGGCCUGUAACUGACGCUGAGGCGCGAAAGCGUGGGGAGCAAACAGGAUUAGAUACCCCAGUAGUC
This 441-nucleotide ribosomal RNA is filed under the name uncultured bacterium. Its description in RNAcentral is "bacterial SSU rRNA". It matches the Rfam family "Bacterial small subunit ribosomal RNA", at positions 338 to 795 of the family's 1533-position model. The record is from RNAcentral.